GGACAGCUGGGGGCACCCUAAGACAUUGGCAGUUGGAAACAUGAUGGAGGAAAAGCAGCACCUUGGGGGCAGAUAAAAGCAAGAAGCAUUCAAAGAAGGAAAGAAAGGUUAAGAUGACCUGGAGACAAGAAAAAGAUUUAGAAGAAGAAAGAAAUAAAAAAAGAGUUCAUCACUGAAGAGGUAUCCUGAUAAUGUAAACAGUACGAUAGGCUAAAAACUGGAAUCAUCUAGAAGACUAAAGGACCCAUCAUGUCCUUCCCAGGCCAUGCCCAAAAGACCAGCAAAAAGACUGUUCCAACAGAGUCUCUUCUAAUGCCCCAAGUUCCACGUGGCAAUUACUUGCAACUUCAGGAAGAGAAGCAAAGACUACAGCUCAAGAAAUUCCUUCUUCAUAGGGUGUUUCUAGUGGCCAAGAUAACAGCAAACACAGAAAGAAAAGAUAUCGCCGACUACUAUGAACGCGUGUUUCAGUCCAUUUUAAAACAUCACAUAGAAGCAGCAGUGACCGGGUUUCUGCUCAUCUAUCCCACUUCUAUUCUGCAUAUCCUGGAGUCCUCCAGCGGUACCCUUUACCGAAUUCUUUUAGAUCAUCUUGACCAGGGAAAGAAUGAUACAAAAUUUUUUAUCCAAGGGAUGAAAAUUAUAGUUGUGUCCCAUAACAUCCCAACAAGACUCUUCACGCAAUGGCAUGUUUCAGUCAUAAAAGUUCCAGUUAUGUAUCUCGAUGACAUCACACAGACACAGUCCCUAGAGGGGGUCGUCACAGAGUUUCUCACCCAGACUCAUAAACUGGCACUGCACGUUGCAAAGACUGUGAAAGUGGGUGCUAAAGGACCAGGAGACAACUUACACCAACUUGUACCUGAAUUGCUCAUCUCAGAACAGAUAAUAAAGUACUUGUGCAAAUCUGAAGAAUUCAUGGAUCCAGAAGCUUUCCUAAACAUGUAUAACAGACCCGCACAUAUCACUUUGGAUUCUGAGGUGAUAUGGCCUGCUCCUUCUUGUUUCUAGGAUUGAGAGGGACGUGGUUGGUGUGGUCCAAUCUCUCAAGGGAUUGAUGCUACUUAAAGGAAAAUAUUUGUGAGGUGAGUCUUCUUUUUAAAAAAGAAAGGACCAUACACCACGGGAUACACAAAGGCUCGGUUUAUACUAGAUGUUACUUUUUGAAGCCAAGGGUAAUAGACUACAGCAAGGUUUAUUUCAUCAUGGAUAAAACUACACGCCUUGUAGUAUUUUGAUUCAUGGACUCCUCACUUUCUGUCCUGGACAGUGACAAUUCACGGGCAUGUUCCAGCCGCCAUCAAAACGACAAAAUGAAAAGAUCAUUGUAAUGAAAAGACUGACCUUUGUUAUGCAACCCAUUACCAACUCAUUAUGUGGCCCUGAGCAAGUAAUUUUGUUCCUUCUGGGGUCUCUGUUCAUCUACAUCGUAGAACCUCUCAGCAUUAUGCAGAAGUCCCUGAAGCCCUUGAACUGUUAAGCAAAAAUGUGUCUGAAAGAAAGACUUACUGUUUUAGAUCACACAGGAGGAGAAGAUUAAGAUGUUUUUCAUAAAAUUUUGAAGCCUAAUGUCUGAAUGAAUGAAUGAAUGAAUGAGUGAAUGAAUCCACCUUACCAGAGAGUACCCACGGGCAAUACAUUUUCCUUUAAAAAGUCCAUCCUGGAUGUAUCCAUUUUAGUGCAAAGAAGAAUGGGAAACUGACAAGUCAGAAAUCUAUAUACUAGAUUAUGACAUCUGAAUAGCAAGUUUGGUAGCACUAUGGAAUCAGAAGACACCGUGAAGAGUAAGACAUUUUCUUGAAGGCGAUGGGAGGCCACUGAGGAUUUUCAGCAGAGCAUCAUCAGGUUUGGCUACUGAGUGAAGAAUGGCCCUCAGGGGACACGCUGGCAGACAGCUUCUUAGGUGUUACACGUCCUCUGGGAGUGGCUGAUAAUCAUUCCAAUCAUAUUAAUGACGAUGAAGAUGGAUCUAAGGGGACCAGUUUGAGAGAUAAUCAGGAAGUAAACAAACAUAGGUUAUGAGGGAGAGAAAAGUGUCAAAUAUUUUAGGUUUCUAGUUUUUACAGCAAGAUGGUUGCAUUCCUCAGGUAGGGAAUAUAGGAGUACAGCAUUUGUAAAGUAAAAUGUGCUUUCAAUUACAGCUGCCUCGGGUUGGCAUCACUUUUGUUUGAUGUACUUCCAUUAUUAAUACCUUUUGGUGAGGUAUAGAGAGUGUGUAUCAUAUUAAAUCACAUACUUGGUUGAAA
RNA transcript from Suricata suricatta (meerkat), 2246 nucleotides. It is a transcript of the gene named testis expressed 47, with no coding region annotated. The transcript is spliced from 3 exons. The record is from RefSeq and is a predicted model, not a curated record. NCBI's taxonomy places the organism in Eukaryota, Metazoa, Chordata, Mammalia, Carnivora, Herpestidae.